This 253-nucleotide ribosomal RNA is filed under the name uncultured bacterium. RNAcentral describes it as "partial 16S ribosomal RNA". It matches the Rfam family "Bacterial small subunit ribosomal RNA", at positions 524 to 776 of the family's 1533-position model. The record is from RNAcentral.
UACAGAGGUCUCAAGCGUUGUUCGGAUUCAUUGGGCGUAAAGGGUGCGUAGGUGGUGCUGUAAGUUAGGUGUGAAAUCUCGGGGCUCAACCCCGAAACUGCACUUGAUACUGCAGUGCUCGAGGACUGGAGAGGAGAUUGGAAUUCAUGGUGUAGCAGUGAAAUGCGUAGAUAUCAUGAGGAAGACCAGUGGCGAAGGCGGAUCUCUGGACAGUUCCUGACACUGAGGCACGAAGGCCAGGGGAGCAAACGGG